GGAUUGUAUGAAAAGAGAGAGUCAGCAGCCUCCUUGAUAAGGAUAGAAGAGGUCCUAGCGGUCUUCACAACACAUGGCACUGCCAUCUGCUCUGGGGCAUUUAACAUGACCAUUUUGU
Molecule: small nuclear RNA, 118 nt
Organism: Sarcophilus harrisii (Tasmanian devil)
Lineage: Eukaryota; Metazoa; Chordata; Mammalia; Dasyuromorphia; Dasyuridae
Source: Ensembl